GGGGAUGUAGCUCACCUGGUAGAGCGCUCGCUUCGCAUGCGAGAGGUACGGAGUUCGAGUCCCCGCAUCUCCA
Marchantia polymorpha subsp. polymorpha is the source of this 73-nucleotide transfer RNA. It matches the Rfam family "tRNA". From Rfam's summary of the family: Transfer RNA (tRNA) molecules are approximately 80 nucleotides in length. Their secondary structure includes four short double-helical elements and three loops (D, anti-codon, and T loops). The record is from Rfam. NCBI's taxonomy places the organism in Eukaryota, Viridiplantae, Streptophyta, Marchantiopsida, Marchantiales, Marchantiaceae.